Tribolium castaneum (red flour beetle) is the source of this 542-nucleotide long non-coding RNA. RefSeq lists it as uncharacterized. The record is from RefSeq and is a predicted model, not a curated record. NCBI's taxonomy places the organism in Eukaryota, Metazoa, Arthropoda, Insecta, Coleoptera, Tenebrionidae. The transcript has 3 exons.
UAACUUACUGUACUAUUUGUUACUUUCAAACUUGUAUCUUUCAAAAUUACAAAACUUAGCCGAAGUAAAAUUAAUAGCUAAUUAUGUGAAAAAGCAAGAAUAUCCCCAACACGUGACCCUAUUCACUUGUUGGAAUAAACGAACAAUAUUAACAGUAUACAAACAGCUUGCAGAGAAAAAAAUUGUUUUAAACGUGCUCACAAAUCAUUGGAAAAUAAAUCAAACCAAACUUUCACAACACACAUUUCUAGUCGGUGACACAUUGUGUCCACAAUUUAAUUCACUCCUCAGUCACGCCAAAUUAUUACAAGCUCCAAAUAAAUGGCUAGUCUUCGAUCAAAAUUCUACUGUAAAUACAAAUGAUCUGCUCUUGGACAGCAACUUUGCAGUGGCUUCGCAAAUUUCAAACGGUCGGUUUCAUCUAAAACUGUGCUACAAACGUGCACCAAAUGAAACAAUCAAGUUUAACGAAAUUGGAGUUUUUUCGAAUGGUUUUGAGUAUUAUAAUCACUUUAUACCUACUCGAAACCGUUCAGAUCUAA